This 72-nucleotide transfer RNA is filed under the name Nanobdellota archaeon. Its description in RNAcentral is "tRNA-Asp". It matches the Rfam family "tRNA". From Rfam's summary of the family: Transfer RNA (tRNA) molecules are approximately 80 nucleotides in length. Lineage: Archaea; Nanobdellati; Nanobdellota. The record is from RNAcentral.
GCCCGCAUAGUAUAACGGCUAGUACAUACCCCUGUCACGGGUAAAACCCGAGUUCAAUUCUCGGUGCGGGCG